Molecule: microRNA precursor, 185 nt
Filed under: Oryza brachyantha (malo sina)
Lineage: Eukaryota; Viridiplantae; Streptophyta; Magnoliopsida; Poales; Poaceae
Description: MIR812 microRNA precursor family
Rfam family: MIR812 microRNA precursor family
Source: Rfam by way of RNAcentral
AAUAAAUUAAUUUUUUAGUUUUUACCUACGAUGUUUGACUCUCCGUCUUAUUUAAAAAUUUAUGAUUAAUAUUUUUAUUUUUAUUAGAUGACAAAACAUGAAUAAUAUUUUACGUGUGGCCAAAUUUUCUAAUUUUUUCUAAUAAUAUUUAAAUAAAACAGAUAGUCAAAGCUGGACACAAAACU